UACGAAGGGGGCUAGCGUUGCUCGGAAUCACUGGGCGUAAAGCGCACGUAGGCGGAUUGUUAAGUCAGGGGUGAAAUCCUGGAGCUCAACUCCAGAACUGCCUUUGAUACUGGCGAUCUCGAGUCCGGGAGAGGUGAGUGGAACUGCGAGUGUAGAGGUGAAAUGCGCAGAUAUCGGGAAGAACACCCGUGGCGAAGGCGGCUCUCUGGGACGGUACUGACGCUGAGACGCGAAAGCGUGGGGAGCGAACAGG
RNAcentral lists this ribosomal RNA (253 nucleotides) under uncultured bacterium. RNAcentral's name for it is "partial 16S ribosomal RNA". It matches the Rfam family "Bacterial small subunit ribosomal RNA", at positions 524 to 776 of the family's 1533-position model. The record is from RNAcentral.